Gallus gallus (chicken) is the source of this 1423-nucleotide long non-coding RNA. The record is from Ensembl. NCBI's taxonomy places the organism in Eukaryota, Metazoa, Chordata, Aves, Galliformes, Phasianidae.
GUAAGGGGAAAUCUGAAAUUCUCAGCAUGAAGUAGUAAUAGUGGCUGCAGAAAAUGUUCAAAACAAAUAAAUAAAGAUUUUAAAGGAGAUAAAGUACAUCAGUUUAAAAGGCCUCUUAAAAUAUAGAUUAGAUGAUGCCUUAUUAUUAUUAUUAUUUGCAUAGAUUUGUUACUUGCAUGCUUCUGUAGUACUCUAUGUGUAGAACAGUACACUGUGGAUACCCGAACUUCAGAAGUUGAUGUAUUUUGAAGAGGACAGAGAUGAAAUCUAUCAAGAAAAAUGAAUAAUUCAGGGUUAUUUUCACGACUUUACUCAUUCCAUCAUGUUUUUUCUCCAUAGACAGUACUAACUACAUUACACAGAAAUUAAACCAAAGUGGUGCCAAUUCAAAGUAACAUGAAAUGCUGACAAGCAAAAGUAAGCAAACAUGCAAAUAAAAAUAUGAUAAUUAACUACAAAUUAAUUUUGUACAUAUUUGAAAGUAUGUAUGAGUUAAAAUCUUUAUCAUUAACUAACCAAUGAUGAACCGUGAUAAGGAAAUCAAAGCAUUUAACUUUUCACUGUAACUAUACAUAAAGUUAACUCAGUAGUAGUCUAAAACGAAUAUAUUAUUUUAAAUCUGUUUAAAUAACAUUGGUUUAAAUCUCCUUUUGUCUCACAUAACUGAGCUUAAGUCACAAUUUAACUCACAGCUAUCAUCAAGAGGACUGUGGAGGAAGAAACACUGACAUGUCACUGAUGGUGUGAACAUUUGUAGUUUCAGUAGGAAAAAAAAAGGAGACUAAGGUGUAAACAAGGAUGAGGGUAAACAGUAAUGGAAUACAAGUUCAAUAGAAGUAAUACUGUUUCAGAUGAAAUUGAUGCUCCACCACCUUCAAUGUCUUCACAGUUCUGCCUGACAGUUGCUCCAGAGAUCAUUGAGUCCAACACCCCUACUUAAGCAGGUACCCUACAAUAGAUUGCACAGGUUAGCAUUCAGAUGAGUCUUGAAUAUCUCCUUAGAAGGAGACUCCACAGCCUCUCUGGGCAGCCUGUUCCAGUGCUCCAUCACCGUUACCAUAAAUAAUUUAUUCCAAGUGUUAGUACAAAAAUUCCUAUGUUCAAAUAUUAGGCCAUUACUUCUUGUCCUAUUGCUGCACACCACUGAGAAGAACCUGGCCUCAUCCAUUUGCCUCCCACCUCCCUUUAGAUAUUUAUAAACACAUAUCAGAUUCCCUGUCAGUCUUCUUUUCCCCGGACUGAACAGACCCAGGUUACUCAGCAUUCCCUCAUAUGGAAGAUGCUCCAGGCCCUUAAUCAUCUCUGUGGCCCUCUGCUAAAUUCCUUCUAGCACAUCCCUGUCUUUUCUGAACUGGGAGCCCAAAACUGGACACAGUAAUGUAAAUGUGCCCUCACCAGGGCAGGGUAGAGGGGGAGGAUCACC